RNAcentral lists this ribosomal RNA (2837 nucleotides) under Picea glauca (white spruce). RNAcentral describes it as "eukaryotic LSU rRNA". The stretch from base 969 to 2837 matches the Rfam family "Eukaryotic large subunit ribosomal RNA". Lineage: Eukaryota; Viridiplantae; Streptophyta; Pinopsida; Pinales; Pinaceae. The record is from RNAcentral.
AGUAAGAGGCCUUGCACCCUCUUUUCCUUGGGAGUGCUUCAUUGUAGUUGCAACCCUCGGUUCAUCCAGCGUUGAUUUUUUGUCAGGAAGCUUCUCUGCCUCGGUGUUCGAAUGGUGUUGCUUGUACCCAUCGCUGGGGGUCUGUUGAUCAUUGGGCGUGGUUUUUUCAAGGGCAAAGAGGCAGUGGGUUCCCUUCCAGUGGGUGUGCUUAUGGGUAAGAGAACUCAAAUCCUCUUUCCUUGCGAGUGUCGGUCGGUUUUGGGUAAGUAGGGGAACUCAGAUCCUCUUUCCAUGUGAGUGUCGGUCGGUUUUGGGUAAGUAGGAGAACUCACAUCCUCUUUCCUUGUGAGUGCUUCGAUGUCCUUUUCUUGCAGUCCUUGGUUUGUUUGGCGAUGAUUUUUGGGCAGCGGCUUCUCCGUCUCUGCGUCUGAAUGCUGUCGCUGGCCAUCAUCAUCAUGGGAAUGUUUUGGGGCAGUGGGACAUCGUUUGUACUGGGGGAAAGGGUAGGUGGGCUCUCUCUCUCUUUUUGAAUAUAACUUGUGCUCGUUUUUCUUUUACUCUGUUGAAAGGGGAAAUUGUCGGGAAUCAUUCUUGUGGAGGGAUGAAAGAAGUGCGCUAUUGGGACUGGACACCCUAGUCCCUCCUGACCGUCAUUCCCUACAAUUUCCCCUUGCAGUUGAGUCCUGGGAAAUCUUGCUCUAUUUGUUUGACCCUCUUUUGGAAUGGGGAGUGAAUUUGUGUCUUGUGGACCUUGGGUCGGACAACUUGUGCUUGUUUUUCCUUUUCUCCAUCGAAAGGGGGAAUUGUGGGGAAUCAGUGUUUUGGAGGGGGGAUGAAAGUAGCAUGUUGUUCAACUGGCCACCCUAGUCCCCCCUUGAUCAUUGUUCCCUUCAAGUCCCCCUCUUGAGUUGAGGUCGUGGAAAUCUUGCUCUAUUUGUUCGAGCCUCCUGUGUACGGCGGAGGGGUGCAUUUGUCUUGUUGGGUGGGAGGGUUGUUAUCGUUUGUGGUGCCGUGUGCAUCAUGGGAUUUUCCAUUUGUCACAUGGAUGCCUUGUCUAGCGAAGUGGGGGUUUGUCGGUAACGUGAGGAAAUGACUCUCGAAAACAGAUAUCUCAGCUCUUGUUACGAUUAAGAAUGUAGCGAAAUGAGAUACUUAGUGUGAAUUGCAGAAUCCUGUGAAUCAUCAAGUUUUUGAAUGCAAUUUGCGCCCGAGGCCUCAGUCGAGGGCACGUCUAUCUAGGUGUCGCAUCCUACACACACACGCUCCCUACAAGGCAUUGGGGAGGAGCAGAGAUGGUCGUCCGUUCCCAAUGUGGUUCGGUUGGAUGAAAUACAUGCAUCACAUGUCUUACGGUGUCCGGUGCACCCUCAGCAGCCCUUGAAAAUCUGGAGGACCAAGUACCGUCCAUGCCCGGUCAUACUCAUAACCGCAUCAGGCCUCCAAGGUCAACGACCUCUGGUCAAUAGAACAAUGUAGGUAAGGGAGGUCGGAAAAACAGAUCCGUAACUUCGAGAAAAGGAUUGGCUCCGAGGGCUAGGCCUAGGGGUCUGCAUCCUCAACCCAUGGGCUGUCGACAGUCUGCCCGAGCUGCUAUCGUGGCGAGGGCGGGCAGUCGUGUGUCGAUUGGGAUACAGAUGUAGAAUGUCCCCUUGCGGGGGAUUUUCCCUAGGUGACGAACAAUCAACUCAGAACUGGUACGGACAAGGAAAAUCCGACUGUUUAAUUAAAACAAAGCAUUGCGAUGGUCCCUGCGGAUGUUGACGCAAUGUGAUUUCUGCCCAGUGCUCUAAAUGUCAAAGUGAAGAAAUUCAACCAACCACGGGUAAAUGGCAGGAGUAACUAUGACUCUCUUAAGGUAGCCAAAUGCCUCGUCAUCUAAUUAGUGAUGUGCAUGAAUGGAUUAACGAGAUUCCCACUGUUCCUAUCUACUAUCUAGUGAAACCACAACCAAGGGAACGGGCUUGGCAGAAUCAGUGGGGAAAGAAGACCCUGUUGAGCUUGACUCUUGUCUGACUUUGUGAAAUGACUUGAGAGGUGUAGAAUAAGUGGGAGUCGUUUUUGGCGCAAGUGAAAUACCACUACUUUUAACGUUAUUUUACUUAUUUCGUGGGGUGGAGAUGGGGCAUUGCCCCUAUUUUUGGCCUUAAGACACGUUUCGACGGGUCGAUCCAGGCGAAAGACAUUGUUAGGUGGGGAGCUUGGCUAGGGCGGCACAUCUGUUAAAAGAUAAUGUUGGUGUCCUAAGAUGAGCUCAACGACAACAGAAAUCUCGUGUGGAACAAAAGGGUAAAAGCUCAUUUGAUUUUGAAUUUUAGUAUGAAUAGAAACUGUGAAAGCGUGGUCUAUCGAUCCUUUAGACUUUAUAAAUUUGAAACUAGAUGUGUUAGAAAAGUUACCACAGGGAUAACUAUCUUGUGGCAGCCAAGCAUUCAUAGUGACGUUGCUUUUUUAUCCUUCGAUGUCGGCUCUUCCUAUCAUUGUGAAGAAGAAUUCACCAAGUGUUGGAUUGUUCACCCACCAAUAGGGAACGUGAUUUGGGUUUAGACCAUCAUGAGACAGGUUAGUUUUACCCUACUGAUGAACCACACCACAAUAGUAAUUCAACUUAGUAUGAGAUGAACUAUUGAUCACACAAUUGGUCAUCGUGCUUGGUUGAAAAGCCAGUCGUGCGAAGCUACCGUGUGUUAGAUUAUGAUUGAACGCCUCUAAGUCAGAAUCCACGCUAGAAGCGGUGCUUGUCACUCCUCGACUGUAUCUUGACCCACAGUAGGGGUGUCACUUCGGCACCCCCAGGGGCCCAUGUCACUUGCAAACCUCGAUCGGGAAGCGUCUCAGUU